AUUGAACGCUGGCGGCAUGCCUUACACAUGCAAGUCGAACGGUAACAGGUCUUCGGAUGCUGACGAGUGGCGAACGGGUGAGUAAUACAUCGGAACGUGCCCGAUCGUGGGGGAUAACGGGGCGAAAGCUUUGCUAAUACCGCAUACGAUCUACGGAUGAAAGCGGGGGAUCUUCGGACCUCGCGCGGACGGAGCGGCCGAUGGACGAUUAGGUAGUUGGUGGGAUAAAAGCUUUCCAAGCCGACGAUCUGUGGCUGGUCUGAGAGAAUGAUCAGCAAAAGGGGGACUGAGACAGGCCCCAGACCCAUCGGGGAGCAAGAGGGGGGAAUUUUGGAAAAAGGGGGAAAGCCGUGACCCGCCCAGGCGGCGGGAAGAAGAAGGUCUUUGGGUUUGAAAACUGUUUUGUACGGAAAGAAAAGCCUUUUUUCAAAAAAGGGGGGGUAAGGAGGGUCCGGAAAGAAAAAGCCCCGGCUAACUCCGU
This 481-nucleotide ribosomal RNA is filed under the name uncultured bacterium. RNAcentral describes it as "partial 16S ribosomal RNA". It matches the Rfam family "Bacterial small subunit ribosomal RNA", at positions 29 to 506 of the family's 1533-position model. The record is from RNAcentral.